RNAcentral lists this ribosomal RNA (497 nucleotides) under uncultured bacterium. Its description in RNAcentral is "partial 16S ribosomal RNA". It matches the Rfam family "Bacterial small subunit ribosomal RNA", at positions 28 to 507 of the family's 1533-position model. The record is from RNAcentral.
GACGAACGCUGGCGGCGUGCCUAAUACAUGCAAGUAGAACGCUGAAGAGAGGAGCUUGCUCUUCUUGGAUGAGUUGCGAACGGGUGAGUAACGCGUAGGUAACCUGCCUUGUAGCGGGGGAUAACUAUUGGAAACGAUAGCUAAUACCGCAUAACAAUGGGUGACACAUGUCUUUUAUUUGAAAGGGGCCAUUGCUCCACUACAAGAUGUGCCUGCGGUGUAUUAUCUAGUAGGUGAGGUAAUGGCUCACCUAGGCGACGAUACAUAGCCGACCUGAGAGGGUGGUCGGCCAAACUGGGAACGAGACACGGCCCAGACUCCUACGGGAGGCAGCAGUAGGGAAUCCUCGGGAAUGGGAGAAAACCUGAACGGGGAAAGCCGCGUGAGUGAAGAAGGGUUUCGGAUCGUAAAGAUCCGUUGUAAGUAAAGAAAAGGUGUGAGGGUGGAAAGUUAACACUGUGACGGUAGCUAACCAGAAAGGGACGGCUAACUACGUG